Molecule: ribosomal RNA, 253 nt
Filed under: uncultured bacterium
Lineage: Bacteria
Description: partial 16S ribosomal RNA
Rfam family: Bacterial small subunit ribosomal RNA
Source: RNAcentral
UACGUAGGGCGCGAGCGUUGUCCGGAAUUAUUGGGCGUAAAGAGCUCGUAGGCGGCCUGUUGCGUCCGCUGUGAAAUCCCAGGGCUCAACCCUGGGCGUGCAGUGGAUACGGGCAGGCUGGAGGCAGGCAGGGGAGAACGGAAUACUUGGUGUAGCAGUGAAAUGCGUAGAUAUCAAGUGGAACACCAGUGGCGAAGGCGAGUCUCUGGACAUUUCCUGACGCUGAGGCACGAAAGCCAGGGGAGCAAACGGG